This 449-nucleotide ribosomal RNA is filed under the name uncultured bacterium. RNAcentral describes it as "partial 16S ribosomal RNA". It matches the Rfam family "Bacterial small subunit ribosomal RNA", at positions 29 to 523 of the family's 1533-position model. The record is from RNAcentral.
AACGAACGCUGGCGGCAUGCCUAACACAUGCAAGUCGAACGAGACCUUCGGGUCUAGUGGCGCACGGGUGCGUAACGCGUGGGAAUCUGCCCUUGGGUUCGGGAUAACAGUUGGAAACGACUGCUAAUACCGGAUGAUGUCUUCGGACCAAAGACUUAUCGCCGAAGGAUGAGCCCGCGUAGGAUUAGCUUGUUGGUGAGGUACGAGCUCACAAAGGCGACGAUCCUUAGCUGGUCUGAGAGGAUGGUCAGCCACACUGGGACUGAGACACGGCCCAGACUCCUACGGGAGGCAGCAGUGGGGAAUAUUGGCCAAUGGGCGAAAGCCUGAUCCAGCAAUGCCGCGUGAGUGAUGAAGGCCUUAGGGUUGUAAAGCUCUUUUACCCGGGAUGAUAAUGACAGUACCGGGAGAAUAAGCCCCGGCUAACUCCGUGCCAGCCGCCGCUGUAA